GACGAACGCUGGCGGCGUGCUUAACACAUGCAAGUCGAGCGAUGAAGCACCUUCGGGUGAAUUAGCGGCGAACGGGUGAGGAACACGUGAAGAAUCUGCCUUCAACUCUGGGAUAACUCCGGGAAACCGGGGCUAAUACCGGAUAUGAGCCUUGAUCGCAUGAUCGGGGCUGGAAAGUUUUUCGGUUGAAGAUGACUUCGCGGCCUAUCAGCUUGUUGGUGAGGUAAUGGCUCGCCAAGGCGACGACGGGUAGCCGGCCUGAGAGGGCGACCGGCCACACUGGGACUGAGACACGGCCCAGACUCCUACGGGAGGCAGCAGUGGGGAAUAUUGGGCAAUGGAGGAAACUCUGACCCAGCGACGCCGCGUGAGGGAUGAAGGCCUUCGGGUUGUAAACCUCUUUCAGUAGGGAAGAAGCGAAAGUGACGGUACCUACAGAAGAAGCACCGGCUAACUAUGUGCCAGCCGCCGCUGUAA
This 477-nucleotide ribosomal RNA is filed under the name uncultured bacterium. RNAcentral describes it as "partial 16S ribosomal RNA". It matches the Rfam family "Bacterial small subunit ribosomal RNA", at positions 28 to 523 of the family's 1533-position model. The record is from RNAcentral.